This is a long non-coding RNA of Brassica rapa (field mustard), 1398 nucleotides long. RefSeq lists it as uncharacterized. Lineage: Eukaryota; Viridiplantae; Streptophyta; Magnoliopsida; Brassicales; Brassicaceae. The record is from RefSeq and is a predicted model, not a curated record.
GAUCUGAAACGCCUCGUAUACAAAAAAGGAAAAAGGUGAUAUAAUUAAUUAGUAAGAGUUUAUUCUAUACAGUGCCAACAUUUAGACUAUAAGACUUCACCAUAGUUCAUAUUGGUUUAAGUCCAGAUUGAUUUGAUGCUCCAGUAAAAAAAUGUUCUUGGACUUACUGAACCAGACACAGACACAAUCUUAUCCUUACUAACUAAGAAGCUUAUAUGCUGCUAAAAAUGCAAAAGUCAUGGUUUCUUGGUAGAUUGGGUUUACUGGAAGUUUUGCCCCAGGAAGCAAAGUCAUGAAAGCUGCUGCUGAGUUGGGUAAGGUACUGAGGUAUAUAUUUAUUUUAUCUUUUGCUUUAUUGAAAAAUAUCAAUGACACAUUACUCAUGGCCUUGUUGCAGCUUGUUUCUAUGGAACUUGGUGGGAAAAGCCCUCUCAUUGUGUUUGAUGACGUUGAUUUUGACAAAGGUGAGUGUCACAAUAAGUAAUUUAAGGGAUAUGGUAUUGUCUGCUUUUACGUUUAGUAGGCAUGUCUUGGAUCCGGUUUAAGCUUUAAAAUGAAAGUUCUGACGCGUGGAAAUGAUCUUAAAUAGCUGUUGCACUGGCUCUAUUGCGGUUGCUUCUGGACAAAUGGUCAGACCUGCAGUGCAACUUCCAGGCUUCUUGUUCAUGUAAGUACCAACCAAGUGUGUUUCAUAACUGGAGAAGUGAAUAUUACAAGUUAAGACUAUAAAAUGUUUCCUAGGAUACUUGUCUGUUGAAUAUGUCUUAUGAUGUAUUUCAAUCUUAGGAAAACAUGGCAUCUGAAUUCAUAGAAAAGCUUGUGGAAUGGACCAAGAACAUUAAAGAUAUCAGACCCCCUUGGAAGAAGGAUGCAGUCUUGGUCCUAUUGUCAGCAAAGAACAGGUAAAAUCUUGAUGGCUUAUACUGAACAAAGUCUUGGUUUUGGUUAAUUUUCUUGCGUUUUUCAGCGGACUUGAUAACUACUUGAGUGUGAAGCAAAUGACUCGCUACAUUUCAGACGAACCAUGGGGGGUGGUACCAAUCCCCCCUACUACUAAGCAAUGAUGGACAACCAAAUUAGCUUUGCGCUUUUUAUCAAUCUGUCAAAGUCUGAUCAUAUGUAAGAUCUUUCAAGUAACAGUAAAGACAAUAUGAAAUAAAGUCAGCUUUGGUGAUACAUUUGUUAUUGCUACAAGGUCAAAGCAUUUAGGGGCACCAUUCUAGGGGCUAUGGUGCAGCAACAUGCAUACCAUUUUAUGUCACCUUCAAGUCACAGCAAAGUUAAAAAACUCACAUGGCUGGCAUUUAAUACAAAAUAAGGACUUGAUUAGAAAAAUAAUGCGUUUAAUGAGAGAUCAGGCGAGACUAGUGGCAUUUUUGUAAUAUAUUAAAAAAGAUA